This is a long non-coding RNA of Amphiprion ocellaris (clown anemonefish), 6530 nucleotides long. RefSeq lists it as uncharacterized. The record is from RefSeq and is a predicted model, not a curated record. The transcript has 2 exons. NCBI's taxonomy places the organism in Eukaryota, Metazoa, Chordata, Actinopteri, Pomacentridae.
GAUUUCUUUUUUCUGCCAAAACAUUUUCAAAAAUUUCCCCAAAAUGUUGAAAAUGUGGACCUCAGAAAUUUCACUGUGGAUAUAUACAUUUUUUCCCCAUUUUCAAACUUUAAAACGGGUCAGUUUGACCCGCAGGACGACGCGAGGGUUAAAACAUUCCAAAACAGUCCUGAAAUAUGUUGGAUUUAAGCUGAAAAUAUGCUGGGCAGUAAAAACCAGCCAGAAUCACGUCCAGUUAGAGGAAUGUUGAUUAAAGUUUACACAUUUUUUGGUCAUUAUGUUGCAGUAGAUAAGAGUGUUUCUGCUCUAGCCCACUGAUAUUAAGGUGUUUUCAGUAUUUGUGCACCUUUUUCAGUUUGCAUUUCUUGUGAUUCUGAGAAUAUUGGAGUCUUUUGCAUGUCCUUUGUCUCACAAUCAGGCUUUGAAUGUUGGAUUUUGUGGAGACUUUGGAUGGUUUCAUGUUUUCCUGCAGCCUUCCAGUUAAAGUUCUGAAGUUGAGACGUAAAACAAAGCUCAACAUUACUCGUAAAUGUCAGUAGAAGACAGCAUGAAGUGCAGUGAGUGUUCUGUCCUCCAGCUGGCCUCUCCUGUCGCCAUACAUUCCUAUAAGCCUCCGUCUGCGCUCAGCUGCGCGGAGGAGGAGCGUUAACGGGGCCGGUAAGCGAGGCGGACAUGGCGGCGCAUAGUCCAGCGGAUUCCUGCCGGCCUUUUAGAGGCUGUUUGUCCGUUUGCAUGCUGCAGGAUGUUUAGAUGAAAGCACCGGGAGUCGUGGUUCGGAGAUGCCGCCCGCUCGGUGCGUAAAGCUGCCACUCGGUGUCGGAUGAAGUUUCCAGGCACAACUCCAGAACAGGGCGGCUGUUUCAGAGGAACUAAGGGAAGUUUAUUGCUGAUUUACGCACCAACUUCCAGCUGACCUUGACCGCAUCUACUGACUGUUAUCAGACCUGCAGGGAUUCACAGGGAGUUUCCAGACAAAAGGGUGAAACUUGCACCAAGUUAGUUUUAAAAAUACAGACUUUUAUUUCAUGUUGGUCAGAUUUUAUGAAGUUUCUUACCUUAAUCCAGGGGUGUCAAACAUGAAGUCCGCAGGUCAAAUCCGGCCGCCAGAGGGUCCAAUCCGGCUCUCCAGAGUGUGGACUUUGUGUAAAAAUAGUGUAAAAAAAAUGCAAAAAUUACAAAGAACACAUUAACUGCAAAUAUUACAUUAGUCAAACUGUAAAUAAUUUCUAGAUCUUGACAAAUAAAUCCUAAAGUACAACACUGUCAUUGUUGUCAUUUUGUGUCUCACUUUAGUAACAUUUUGUCUUGUUUUUGUCAUUUUUUUGUCUGACUUUUGUCAUUUGUCUCAUUUUUGGCAUUCUGUGUGUCAUUUUUGGAAUAUUUUGCCAAAUUAUUGUAGUUUUUUUCUCAUUUUUGUCAUUUUGCAUCUCAUGUUGGGAUUAUUUUGUCUUGUUUUUGUUGUUUUUUGUCUUUUUCUUUGUCUGACUUUUGUCAUUUUGAUCAUAAAGUAAAAUACUAUAUCAACCAGUUCCAGAUACAUGUGACUAAAUGUUUUGUUUAUCUGUAGACACUGUGAUCUCUAAGUUCUAAUGUGUAAAUGAUAAACUGAGGCAUAAUGUUGUUGAAACUGAAUGUAAUUUUCUUAAGAAAUUUCAGGUUGUUCAUGAUGUUUUGUAAAAAGAUAAUUCCUUAAAUGUUGUUGUGCUCUGAUUUAACUGGUCUGGCUCACUUGAGGUCAAAUUGGGCUGAAUGUGGCUCCUGAACUAAAGUACGGUAUGUUUGACACUCCUGCCUUCAUCCAUUAUACGCCUCAUUCAGUUGCUCUCAUGAGGAGUGUUUUUUGGUCAUGUGUUCCUAAGAGGAAGUCACUUCUUUCUGCUCAGCUGCUGCUCGUCUCUGGACUUGCUGUGUCCACAGUUGCAGCUCCUGCGCCUGGAUUAAAGCCCUGCUGAUAUCCCUGGUGUCCCGCUGCUUCUGUGAACAACACUGAAGUAAGUUUUCGUUCAGCUCAUGCACAGACUCACUGGAGAUUUUAAACACAUGAGAAGAGUAUAAAUCCUGCAGAAUUCUCAUGACACUGUCACCUAUAAUGUUGGUUUCUAUUCUAAAAGUUGCCCACAACAAUCCAUAAAUCCAAAAUAAAUCCAGAUUUAGGAGCUUAUAGGUGCAAAUAAGCUUUAAUUCUGCUAAUUCUAUAUGAUUCCUAUCACAAAAUCAGACCAGAAAAGCAGAAAAACUCUCAAAUUUCUUAGAUUUGCAACUGAUAAUUAUUAUUGCAUGAACAUUUCUUCCUCUCAUCAGCUCCACUGGGGUAAUGUUUGGCUCUUGUCUGGCUGCAGGAGCAGAUUUCUACCACUUGUGUGCAGUGUUGGUUUGUCUCUGAGUGUCGAUACGCUCAGAUACUUUUUAUGGAUUCAAGUGGAAAACGAGACUUUUAAGUUUUAUUCCAGAUAACGUGAGCAGAGGUUGAAUCUAAAUUUAGUGUGAAAAAAAAAGUCAGAAAAAGCCUGAGAGGUGUCACUCAGAUCUCACAGAAGCACUAUUAGUUACAACAGAACAGGAAAGUGAUAGUGAAUGAUGUGUUUGCUGCCUGUUAUUUGACACAUAUUUUAACUAAAUCGUAAAUCAGAUCAGAGCUGAAUGUUUGAAAAAAAUACUUUAAGUUUCCACCCAUUCCAGUGAUCUGACUGUUUAUGGGUGUGUCUUCUCUGCUGACUGAACUCCAGCUGAUACAUGAUGUCUGAUAAAAUACAAACCCACAGCAAACAGUGUGGUGUUUCAUCAAAACUUACGAUAUCUAUAAUAAAGCACAUCAUGUUAAAUACCAUUUAUGUCACAUUUUCUCUCUCAGUCUGUGUCAGAGUCACUAAAUGUGCAGGUGGAGUCAUGAUGCUGCAAAUAUAUUGAUGUUCAUUUGAUGUAUUUAACAUUUAAAAACAGCAACAACAACAAAAAACACCUUAUCUAAGAAAAAACAAUAAAAAGAAAGUACAUGGGGAAAAGGUGUUUGACAGAUUUUCCUCUUUAGUUCAGCUACAGGUAACUACAAGCAAAAUCACUGGAAAAAAAGUGAGGGAAAAAAAUGGCCAAAAGUAUAAAUAAUGUCCCCAUGAAAAAUGUGUAUUUUUACAAAUAGUAAUUUGUUCUUUUAUGAUGUCUUACUAUUUUGCACUAUUUUUCCUGCAAUUAAAUCAGCAAAAAUAUUGUUAUUUUGCACAUUUUUGCUACUAUUUGAAUGUAAAAUUAUGCAUAUUUACGAUUGGAAAAAGUAGUAAAUAUUAAUAACUGUUAAAAAAAAUUAUAAAAAUUGACUCUACAUAGCAUCCACAUAAAACUAUCAUUUUUACAAAUAGCAAUUUGUUCUUUGACUGUAAAAUAAAAGUUUUAGUGCUUGAAUCUGCUCCAGAUUAUUUUUACAGAUAUUUACUUUUAUUUUCACAGUUUUUACAGCUUUUAAUUGUCCCAGUAUUCUGUCAUUUUAACAUAAUAAUGUUUAAAAAAAAAAAAAAAGCGUAGCUCUUUUACAGAUUUUUGUCACUAUUUGAAAGUGAAACUAUGCAUAUCUACGAUUGGAAAAAGUGGUAAAAAUUUUUAAACUGUAAAAUAAAACAGCACAUGACUGUACAUAACAUCCACAUUAAAAAAAUUGUAUUUCAGUUUGUUCUUUGUGUGACUGUAAAAUUACAGUUUUAGUGUUUGAAUCUUUUUACAGCUUUUUAUUGUUCCCAUAUUCUAUCAGUUUAAUGUAAUAAUGUAAAAUACAUUUAAAAAAUAAAAUGUGCAGUUAUUUUACAGAUUUUGAUCUAUUUUAAAGUGAAAAAAAUCUACAUAUUAAGGAAAGUGACAAAGUAAAGAAUGUUUUAAUAUGUUAUUUCACAGACAAAAGUCUGAAUUUACAUGUUGAUUGUAAAAAAUAAAAAUUAACAAACACAUGAAACCCUCUAUUUAAAUAGUAAUUUGUUCUUUUACGAUGUUCAGCUGUAAAAUUCUAUUUUUGCUGUAUUUAAAUCUGCUAAAAAAUAUAGCUAUUUUACAAAUAUUUGCCAUUAUUGUGGCUGUUUUUGCGUUUUUUGCCUGUUGUGGUAUUCUGUCAUUCGCUUUUUCAGAAGAAUUUCAUAGACAGGAAACUGGAUAAUUAUGGCCAAUCUGAAACCUCACUACUGCAGACUGAUCUAUAUGUGAAUGGAGAAACUGUAAAACAGAAAAUGUUAUUUUCUCUGUGAUAAACCAUCAUGACUGCAAAAAUCUGGUAAAAUGUGAUUUAAAAUCACUGAAGUAGCUUUCUGUUUUAAUUCUGAACACUAACUGCAACCUCUAUCAGUUGUUUUUGUACCAGAAGCUUUUAAUUUACCCCCCCUAAAACCACCAGGAAUAGUGAUCUCCUCACAGAUACAGUUAAACCUGCAUCACACACACUUCCUCUGAGGAAUCUCCAACAUGUCACUUCCCGCUCAGUGAAACUAUGUGGUGUCGUCAGCGUUCGAGGAACGCAGCAGAGCCCAACCCAAGAGGUUAUUUCUGUCCUCCAGCCUCCACCCGUCCAGGCAGCCGGACCUGGCAGCGUUCAGACGGAGCUGCUCCAAAACAUCCAACUGUUCAGGUGCACAGGUGGAGCAGAGAGGGACGUUAGAUCAGUCACAAAGAUGGACAGAGUUUAUCGUCUGUGAUCUGAGUCUAGCAAGCUAGUCAUUUUUUACGUUUCUGCUUUCAUAUUCAGCACUUUUGCACAUUAAAUUGAAGCUUGUAACAGGCUGCAGGGUGAAUAAAACCUUGUCUAUGUGCAUGCUUUUACUUUGAUAGGUUCACUAUGACGUCACAGCUUCCUGCAGUUUAUUAUCAUCACUAACUGGGUCGUAUGUUUCAGGAAAAACAGAGCUGAAGUUCAACAUUAAGCAGGUUUCACAGGUAGAAAACUGCCUAAAUAUACUGUCUUCAUGAUGAAACUCAUCAUAUGUCUAUUAAAAUCCCAGAAAAAGUUUUUUUUUAAACUGACUACAUAAUGUUCACUUCAAAAAUCUGGAUUUUUACGAAUUCUAGUUUAUUCUUUUACUAGAUGUGACCAUAAAAUGACAUUUUUCCUGUGUUUAAAUCUGCUAAAUGUUCUGCUGAAGGUUCUCGUUCCUGCACCUGAAAACUCUGGUCUGUUUCCAUAAACACUCUUUGAUUUCAUUCACUUCUUAUCUGCAGCAUCAGAGCUGCAGCACCCAGUUAAUGCUGGAUGGAAACACUUUCUGCUGCCAGGAGACCACUUCAGCUCGCUGCCACCCAGGACCACCCAGUAGAUAUGGAGGCUCCACAGCUCAUUACUGUACGGUGUUCUGCAGAUUUAGAUCUGCUGUGUUUAUCUUCAUGCAGGUGAUUCAGAGCCAAGAUGCUGCAGGAGGAAUUCAAGUGUCGAUUUAGCUUUAAGUGUUAAAUCACACAAUCUGUUGUGUUUAUUACUGUGUUUGAAGAACCGUCUAGUCUGUACAUGAAACAUGCAUCAAAUCUGAAUGUUUUCUGUGAAAACAUGAAGGAAAGACAACCAAAAAAAAUAAGGAAACGUGAAAAAUAGUUCAGUAAACAAAAUAAAUGGUUGUAACUGAAAAAAAAAGUUGAAAAAUGGUUCAGUAAGCAAAACUAGAGGAGAUGCAAUCAAUGAAUAAACAACUUUUUGAGAAAUAUUUUAAUGCAAAACAAGUUGGAAUAUUAAUCAAUGUGACAAAAUAGAUGCAAAAUCACAACAGAGCAGUAAAUAAAAUGACAAUUUUCUAAAUAUAAUGAUGCACAAAAAUUCACCCACAGGAUUUCACAAAUAGUAUUUGUGCAGUUUUUGUAGAUUUUAUUCUUUUCUGUUGCUUCUUUGUUGUUUUUUGCAGUGUUUUCUUUAUUAUAGCAAUAAAUCUAAUAAAUGUGGCUUCAGAAAUGAGGACGACUGUAAUACUUUACUAGAUCCAAUACAAAAUUUGCAGAGUUACAACCAUUAAAUAAUCCCAGAUAUGUCCGACAAAAUAUAAUAUUAAUCAAUCUGACAAAAUAGAUGCAAAAUCACAACAGAGUGGUAAAUAAAAUGACGGUUUUCCAAAUUAUAAUGAAGCACAUAGACUUCAGAUUGUAUUUGUGCAAUUUUUUAAUCAAUCUUACUCUCUUCUAUUGCUGUUUCUGCUGUUUUUUGCAGCGUUUUCUUUUGUUUUUGAAAUAAAUCUAGCAAAUUCGGCUUCAGAAAUAAGGGCAGCUGCUAUAUUUUUUUAGAUCCAACAUAGAAUUUGUACAGUUACAACCAUUAAAUAAACCAUUAAAUAACCCCAAAUAUUUCUGACAAAAUCUAAUAUUAAUCUAUGUGACAAAACAGAUGUAAAAACACAACAGAGCAGUAAAUAAAAUGACAAUUUUCUAAACAAUGAAUCACAAAAAUGCACACACGAGACUUCAGAUUGUAUUUUUUGCCUUUUUUGUAUAUUAUUUUCUCCGAGCGUUGCUUUUUCUGUUGUUUACUGCAGUGUUUUCUGUAUUAUAGAAAUAAACCUAAUAAAUGUGUUUUCAGAAAUGAG